RNAcentral lists this ribosomal RNA (482 nucleotides) under Camellia sinensis. RNAcentral's name for it is "eukaryotic LSU rRNA". It matches the Rfam family "Eukaryotic large subunit ribosomal RNA", at positions 2926 to 3401 of the family's 3401-position model. The record is from RNAcentral. Lineage: Eukaryota; Viridiplantae; Streptophyta; Magnoliopsida; Ericales; Theaceae.
GGAUUGUUCACCCACCAAUAGGGAACGUGAGCUGGGUUUAGACCAUUGUGAGAUAGGUUAGUUUUACCCUACUGAUGACAAUGUCGCAAUAGUAAUUCAACCUAGUACGAGAGGAACCGUUGAUUCGCACAAUUGGUCAUCGCGCCUGGUUGAAAAGCCAGUGGCGUGAAGCUACCGUGCGCUGGAUUAUGACUGAACGCCUCUAAGUCAGAAUCUGGAUUAUGACUGAACGCCUCUGGAUUAUGACGCAUGCGCCCGCCGCCCGCUUGCAGAACCGCAGUAGGGGCCGUCCGGCCCCCAAAGGCACGUGUCGUUGGUAAAGCCCGCACGAGCCGCCUUGAAGUACAAUUCCUAUCUCGAGCGGCGGGUAGAAUCCUCCGCAGACGACUUAAUUACGCGACAGGGUAUUGUAAGUGGCAGAGUGGCCUUGCUGCCACGAUCCACUGAGAUUUAGCCCUGCGUCGCUCCGAUUCCUCCCUCCC